GAUGAACGCUGGCGGCGUGCCUAAUACAUGCAAGUCGAGCGAACAGACGAGGAGCUUGCUCCUCUGACGUUAGCGGCGGACGGGUGAGUAACACGUGGAUAACCUACCUAUAAGACUGGGAUAACUUCGGGAAACCGGAGCUAAUACCGGAUAAUAUAUUGAACCGCAUGGUUCAAUAGUGAAAGACGGUUUUGCUGUCACUUAUAGAUGGAUCCGCGCCGCAUUAGCUAGUUGGUAAGGUAACGGCUUACCAAGGCGACGAUGCGUAGCCGACCUGAGAGGGGGAACGCCCACUCAGGAGGGGACACACGGCCCAGACCCCUACGGGAGGCAGGAAGAGGGAAUUUACCGCAGUGGGCGAAAGCUUGACGGAACAACCCCGGGGGGGUGAAGAAGGUAUGUGGUCUGGAAAGCCUUUUUAUUAGGGAAGAAAAAAAGUGUAGAUAACUUUGCCCGUUUGACGGUACCCAAAGAAGAAGCCCCGGCUAACUUAGUG
This 496-nucleotide ribosomal RNA is filed under the name uncultured bacterium. RNAcentral's name for it is "partial 16S ribosomal RNA". It matches the Rfam family "Bacterial small subunit ribosomal RNA", at positions 28 to 507 of the family's 1533-position model. The record is from RNAcentral.